This 276-nucleotide ribosomal RNA is filed under the name uncultured bacterium. RNAcentral describes it as "partial 16S ribosomal RNA". It matches the Rfam family "Bacterial small subunit ribosomal RNA", at positions 76 to 353 of the family's 1533-position model. The record is from RNAcentral.
UCAAACUGGAGAUGGCGACCGGCGCACGGGUGAGUAACACGUAUCCAACCUGCCGAUAACUCGGGGAUAGCCUUUCGAAAGAAAGAUUAAUACCCGAUGGCAUAAUAGAACCGCAUGGUUGAUUAUUAAAGAAUUUCGGUUAUCGAUGGGGAUGCGUUCCAUUAGGCAGUUGGUGGGGUAACGGCCCACCAAACCUUCGAUGGGUAGGGGUUCUGAGAGGAAGGUCCCCCACAUUGGAACUGAGACACGGUCCAAACUCCUACGGGAGGCAGCAUG